CUUCAACGACCCCAGCCACAGCGGCCGGUCGGUGUCCCGGUCCUGGCCGUAGGUGGCCAGCAACGCCUGCACCUC
Molecule: antisense RNA, 75 nt
Filed under: Micromonospora rifamycinica
Lineage: Bacteria; Bacillati; Actinomycetota; Actinomycetes; Micromonosporales; Micromonosporaceae
Description: ASpks TB sRNA
Rfam family: ASpks TB sRNA
Source: RNAcentral